GUCUUCAGUACUUAUAGCUCAACAGGUGAAAGCACGGUGCUGAUGAUGCCAAGGUUGCAGGUUCGAUCCCUGUAUGGGACA
Molecule: non-coding RNA, 81 nt
Organism: Podarcis lilfordi (Lilford's wall lizard)
Lineage: Eukaryota; Metazoa; Chordata; Lepidosauria; Squamata; Lacertidae
Source: the annotation of a GenBank genome assembly